RNAcentral lists this unclassified non-coding RNA (158 nucleotides) under synthetic construct. The record is from RNAcentral.
UUUCUAAACCCAGGAGCUGGGUUUGUCCGGCGUGCUGAUUGUAUAUUGCAAUAACGAAAAGCGGCCGCAUAGACUUACGAGCCUAGAUAACUGACUAGUUUUGCUUCUGCGGCGACGUGCACUGAAGUAUGUGCUUUUUGAAGUAUUGCGUUUGGUAA